GCACCCUCUUAAGGUUGAUGCAGUGCCUUAAGAGGUUAACACAGAAGGGGAAAGGAAACCUCCAUAAAACCCAGAGAAGAGACUGUAAAACUCCUCCCUGCAUCUCGUCUGGAGUCACAGCU
Molecule: small nucleolar RNA, 122 nt
Filed under: Castor canadensis (American beaver)
Lineage: Eukaryota; Metazoa; Chordata; Mammalia; Rodentia; Castoridae
Description: Small nucleolar RNA SNORA26 (ENSCCNG00000000369.1)
Rfam family: Small nucleolar RNA SNORA26
About the family: The snoRNA HBI-6 belong to the H/ACA family of snoRNAs, guiding the pseudouridylation of position U4522 if the 28S rRNA. HBI-6 is the human orthologue of mouse MBI-6 snoRNA.
Source: Rfam by way of RNAcentral